RNAcentral lists this ribosomal RNA (392 nucleotides) under uncultured bacterium. RNAcentral's name for it is "partial 16S ribosomal RNA". It matches the Rfam family "Bacterial small subunit ribosomal RNA", at positions 523 to 917 of the family's 1533-position model. The record is from RNAcentral.
AUACGGAGGAUGCGAGCGUUAUCCGGAUUUAUUGGGUUUAAAGGGAGCGUAGGUGGGAUAUUAAGUCAGCUGUGAAAGUUUGGGGCUCAACCUUAAAAUUGCAGUUGAUACUGGUUUCCUUGAGUACGGUACAGGUGGGCGGAAUUCGUGGUGUAGCGGUGAAAUGCUUAGAUAUCACGAAGAACUCCGAUCGCGAAGGCAGCUCACCGGGCCGGAACUGACACUGAUGCUCGAAAGUGCGGGUAUCAAACAGGAUUAGAUACCCCGGUAGUCCGCACAGUAAACGAUGAAUACUCGCUGUUUGCGAUACACUGUAAGCGGCCAAGCGAAAGCGUUAAGUAUUCCACCUGGGGAGUACGCCGGCAACGGUGAAACUUAAAGGAAUUGGCGGG